AAGUCGACGAGGAUGUUGGAGUGAGCGAUUGUUCAUCGUGUGCCGUGUUGGUUCUAACAUCGACACCACGCCAUUUAGAUCUAGUAUUGUAUAACAUUCAUCCCUUUGCAGAUCUAGACCUAGGUGCUGGGGUUCUAAAGCUGAAACUGUAAUGGCACCCAUGGAAAAGAUGGCUAAGUAGGAAUCCUUUGAAAUGGGACCCAUGUUUAUAUGAAAUUAUACUAAUUUUGAUUGCAUCUAUUUUAGUUUGAAUUGGUGUAUGCCAAGUUACAAUGUGAGUAUUUCAUAAAUGAAAACAAGUUCCAAGUUGGUAAUAGGUUGUGCAGCUACUUAACAAUUAACUUCAUAAUGUUUGCGGCCAACUGUAAGUAAUUUUCUGCUAUCUGGGUUCUAUUAGGAGUGAAGGUAUAGAAGCUGUAAAAGAUUUCUUGAAUAUUCUUAUAGUAAAUAAUUUAAUACAUUGAUUAAGCUUACAUAUUUUAUGUUCCAUUUUAUGUUCCAUACUAAACAAAUUGAGCCCGCUGUUUUACAUCCUUAUCUAUGAUUUACAGUGCUAAGGCAGCCAACAAACCAAGAACUUGUAUGAAAUGUUCAAAGUGAUAGAUGGAUUAGUCCCACUGGAUGAUGAAUUAAUCCUACCUGAUGAUCAGCACUACCUGACAAUGGAUUAGUCCUACCUUACAAGAUGUUACCUUGUAUCACCUGUGAAAAGGAUCAGGAACCAAGAAGAAAACCCUGGAUAAGUGACAUAAUCCUGGAUCUGUUGCAGAUCACCAUUCACCUGCCAAAAGAUUCAUCCCAAGUUGUUCCCUUGACCGGCAGUUCAGAAUGAGUUAAUUUCAACUACUUCACUUCUGAUUUUCCACUGUUAACUACUCCAAAAUUCAUUG
Molecule: long non-coding RNA, 890 nt
Organism: Physella acuta
Lineage: Eukaryota; Metazoa; Mollusca; Gastropoda; Physidae
Source: RefSeq, a predicted model, not a curated record